Non-coding RNA from Phycodurus eques (leafy seadragon), 73 nucleotides. Lineage: Eukaryota; Metazoa; Chordata; Actinopteri; Syngnathiformes; Syngnathidae. The record is from the annotation of a RefSeq genome assembly.
GCUGAUAUAGCUCAGUUGGGAGAGGAUUAGACUAAAACUCUACAGGUCCCUGGUUCGAUUCCAGGUUUUGGCA